UACGGGGGGAGCAAGCGUUGUUCGGAUUUACUGGGCGUAAAGGGCGCGUCGGCGGUCAGCACAAGUCAGUUGUGAAAUCUCCGGGCUUAACUCGGAAAGGUCAACUGAUACUGUGCGACUAGAGUGCGGAAGGGGCAACUGGAAUUCUCGGUGUAGCGGUGAAAUGCGUAGAUAUCUGGAGGAACACCGGUGGCGAAGGCGGCAUCCUGGACCGGUAUUGACGCUGAGGCGCGAAAGCUAGGGGAGCAAACGGG
This 254-nucleotide ribosomal RNA is filed under the name uncultured bacterium. RNAcentral's name for it is "partial 16S ribosomal RNA". It matches the Rfam family "Bacterial small subunit ribosomal RNA", at positions 524 to 776 of the family's 1533-position model. The record is from RNAcentral.